Micropterus dolomieu (smallmouth bass) is the source of this 302-nucleotide long non-coding RNA. RefSeq lists it as uncharacterized. The transcript has 2 exons. The record is from RefSeq and is a predicted model, not a curated record. Lineage: Eukaryota; Metazoa; Chordata; Actinopteri; Centrarchiformes; Centrarchidae.
UUCACCUGCAAGGGAUAGAGAUUGGCCAUGCCCACACAUGACCCUACAGGGCGUCACAAAGAUGAGAAGGGCAAAGGUCAAACCAGAGAGGAGAGGAGCAGGCAGGAAUCCAAAGUCCAAUAAACAGACAAAAGGUCUUGGUCACGGAGAGAAGAGCGUUCAGUCUGCCUGCCCUGUUUAGCGUGCACUCUGCUGCCUGCUCUGCUCACAGCGCCUGCUGCCCGAUCACAGUGCCUCUCGGCCUGAUACUCUUCUUUGCACAUUAACUGAGCCUGUUAAUAAAUCCAAAUGUUUUGCCUUUA